UACGGAGGGUGCAAGCGUUAUCCGGAUUCACUGGGUUUAAAGGGUGCGUAGGUGGGCAGGUAAGUCCGUGGUGAAAUCUCUGAGCUUAACUCAGAAACUGCCGUGGAUACUAUUUGUCUUGAAUAUUGUGGAGGUGAGCGGAAUAUGUCAUGUAGCGGUGAAAUGCUUAGAUAUGACAUAGAACACCAAUUGCGAAGGCAGCUUACUAAAGUAUGAUUGACGCUGAGGCACGAAAGCGUGGGGAUCAAACAGG
Molecule: ribosomal RNA, 253 nt
Filed under: uncultured bacterium
Lineage: Bacteria
Description: partial 16S ribosomal RNA
Rfam family: Bacterial small subunit ribosomal RNA
Source: RNAcentral